This 58-nucleotide transfer RNA is filed under the name Salmo salar (Atlantic salmon). It matches the Rfam family "tRNA", at positions 8 to 63 of the family's 71-position model. From Rfam's summary of the family: Transfer RNA (tRNA) molecules are approximately 80 nucleotides in length. Their secondary structure includes four short double-helical elements and three loops (D, anti-codon, and T loops). The record is from Rfam by way of RNAcentral. RNAcentral also lists the same sequence under 1 other name. Lineage: Eukaryota; Metazoa; Chordata; Actinopteri; Salmoniformes; Salmonidae.
UGGCUCGGUUGGUAGAGCAUGGCGCUGGCAAUGCUAGGGUUGUGGGUUUGAAUCCCAU